GCCGCCGUAGCUUAGCUGGUAGAGCGUCGGCCUGUUAAGCCGAUGGUCGCAGGUUCGAAUCCUGCCGGCGGCG
Transfer RNA from Archaeoglobus veneficus SNP6, 73 nucleotides. It matches the Rfam family "tRNA". Rfam says of the family: Transfer RNA (tRNA) molecules are approximately 80 nucleotides in length. Their secondary structure includes four short double-helical elements and three loops (D, anti-codon, and T loops). Further hydrogen bonds mediate the characteristic L-shaped molecular structure. tRNAs have two regions of fundamental functional importance: the anti-codon, which is responsible for specific mRNA codon recognition, and the 3' end, to which the tRNAs corresponding amino acid is attached (by aminoacyl-tRNA synthetases). tRNAs cope with the degeneracy of the genetic code in two manners: having more than one tRNA (with a specific anti-codon) for a particular amino acid; and 'wobble' base-pairing, i.e. permitting non-standard base-pairing at the 3rd anti-codon position. Lineage: Archaea; Methanobacteriati; Methanobacteriota; Archaeoglobi; Archaeoglobales; Archaeoglobaceae. The record is from Rfam.